CCUACGGUGAGCUGCAGUGGGGAAUAUUGCGCAAUGGGCGAAAGCCUGACGCAGCGACGCCGCGUGAGGGAUGAAGGUCUUCGGAUCGUAAACCUCCGUCAGCAGGGAAGUACGGUCACUGUGCUAAUCAGCAGUGAAUUGACGGUACCUGCAAAGGAAGCACCGGCUAACUCCGUGCCAGCAGCCGCGGUAAUACGGAGGGUGCGAGCGUUAAUUGGAAUUACUGGGCGUAAAGCGCUCGUCGGCGGUAUGUCAAGUCAAGGGUGAAAUCCCCGCGCUCAACGUGGGAACUGCAUUUGAAACUGGCAAACUGGAGUGUGUGAGAGGAUAGUGGAAUUCCAGGUGUAGGAGUGAAAUCCGUAGAUAUCUGGAGGAACAUCAGUGGCGAAGGCGACUAUCUGGCACAUAACUGACGCUGAGGAGCGAAAGCGUGGGUAGCAAACAGGAUUAGAUACCCCUGUAGUC
RNAcentral lists this ribosomal RNA (465 nucleotides) under uncultured bacterium. RNAcentral describes it as "partial 16S ribosomal RNA". It matches the Rfam family "Bacterial small subunit ribosomal RNA", at positions 338 to 795 of the family's 1533-position model. The record is from RNAcentral.